CGGGGAGCGCCGGAGUUGGAGAGCCGGGGCGGUCUGUAACACCGUUGCCAUUGUGCUGAGUGGGUCCGAAUCCCACCUCCCCGACCA
This 87-nucleotide transfer RNA is filed under the name Lachnospiraceae bacterium. RNAcentral's name for it is "tRNA-Tyr". It matches the Rfam family "tRNA". Rfam says of the family: Transfer RNA (tRNA) molecules are approximately 80 nucleotides in length. Their secondary structure includes four short double-helical elements and three loops (D, anti-codon, and T loops). Lineage: Bacteria; Bacillati; Bacillota; Clostridia; Lachnospirales; Lachnospiraceae. The record is from RNAcentral.